RNAcentral lists this microRNA precursor (210 nucleotides) under Oryza sativa Japonica Group (Japanese rice). RNAcentral's name for it is "MIR812 microRNA precursor family". It matches the Rfam family "MIR812 microRNA precursor family". The record is from Rfam by way of RNAcentral. Lineage: Eukaryota; Viridiplantae; Streptophyta; Magnoliopsida; Poales; Poaceae.
AAUAAGUGCAGCCAUAGAUAUCCGAAUUUAUCGUUUUGACCAUCCGUCUUAUUUGAAAAUUUUAAGAAAAAUAUUUAAAAAAUUAGUCACACGUUAAGUACUAUUCAUAUUUUAUCAUCUAGUAACAAUAAAAUUACUAAUUAUAAUAUUUUUUCAAAUAAGACGAACAGUCAAACGUUGGACAUGAACAGUGAUAAAACUGCAUUUAUU